This 467-nucleotide ribosomal RNA is filed under the name uncultured bacterium. RNAcentral's name for it is "partial 16S ribosomal RNA". It matches the Rfam family "Bacterial small subunit ribosomal RNA", at positions 28 to 507 of the family's 1533-position model. The record is from RNAcentral.
GAUGAACGCUGACAGAAUGCUUAACACAUGCAAGUCAACUUGAAUUUGGGUUUUUACCUUAGGUUUGGGUGGCGGACGGGUGAGUAACGCGUAAAGAACUUGCCUCACAGCUAGGGACAACAUUUGGAAACGAAUGCUAAUACCUAAUAUUAUGAUAAUAGGGCAUCCUAUAAUUAUGAAAGCUAUAAGCGCUGUGAGAGAGCUUUGCGUCCCAUUAGCUAGUUGGAGAGGUAACGGCUCACCAAGGCGAUGAUGGGUAGCCGGCCUGAGAGGGUGAUCGGCCACAAGGGGACUGAGACACGGCCCUUACUCCUACGGGAGGCAGCAGUGGGGAAUAUUGGACAAUGGACCGAGAGUCUGAUCCAGCAAUUCUGUGUGCACGAUGAAGUUUUUCGGAAUGUAAAGUGCUUUCAGUUGGGAAGAAACAAAUGACGGUACCAACAGAAGAAGAGACGGCUAAAUACGUG